UACGUAGGGGGCAAGCGUUAUCCGGAUUUACUGGGUGUAAAGAGAGCGCAGACGGCAGUGCGAGUCUGAUGUGAAAGCCCGGGGUUCAACCCCGGAACUGCAUUGGAAACUGUACAGCUUGAGUGUCGGAGAGGUAAGCGGAAUUCCUAGUGUAGCGGUGAAAUGCGUAGAUAUUAGGAGGAAUACCAGUUGCGAAGGCGGCUCUCUGGACUGUAACUGACACUGAGGCACGAAAGCGUGGGGAGCAAACAGGAUUAGAUACCCU
Molecule: ribosomal RNA, 265 nt
Filed under: uncultured prokaryote
Description: partial 16S ribosomal RNA
Rfam family: Bacterial small subunit ribosomal RNA
Source: RNAcentral